This 75-nucleotide microRNA precursor is filed under the name Marek's disease virus serotype 2 MDV2. RNAcentral describes it as "microRNA mdv2-mir-M16 precursor". Its record names the gene mdv2-mir-M16. Lineage: Duplodnaviria; Heunggongvirae; Peploviricota; Herviviricetes; Herpesvirales; Orthoherpesviridae. The record is from miRBase by way of RNAcentral.
GAAACGCAUCCAGUCUGUUUUGGCAUCUGAGUGGCGCGUAGCCGUUGUCAGAUGCCAGAGAGACUGAAAUGUUUC